RNAcentral lists this long non-coding RNA (3915 nucleotides) under Callithrix jacchus (white-tufted-ear marmoset). RNAcentral's name for it is "lncRNA (ENSCJAG00000072990.1)". The record is from RNAcentral. Lineage: Eukaryota; Metazoa; Chordata; Mammalia; Primates; Cebidae.
AUGGUGUGCAGAGUCCGUGAGACUUUGAAACACAGAAGGCUGGAAGUGUCAUCAGCAGGAAGGAUAAAUGCAGUUGCUACUGGAUGGAAUAAACAGAAGGUCCAGGGUCUAAACCGUACUCUGCACGAGCAAAAGAAAAUGCACAGAAAGAAACAGUUCUCAGAAUCAGUUUGUUUCGUGUUGCUUCAGUUCAGAGUGACAAAUACUGGGGAUUGGAAUGGAACUAGCCGGGUACGAAGAGCCUCGGCAAAGAGCAAAACGUGGAUGCAUUUCCCGUCUUAUCCCUCAAUCUGGGAGAUGUGGCUUUCCUUUGAAGCUUUUCUGCACUGGGGAAUUGCAGCAAUUUCCUUGUGAUUCUGCUUCCAAGCCUGGGCUUACAGAAGACGGAGGCAGCAGGCAGGCAAGUUACACACAGAAGGGCAAAACAGAGCCUUCGGGAUGCUGGAAAUUCCGGACCGUGUCCCUGUAGCAACACACCACGCGGAGGUUGGUUUACUGAACUUUCUUCAUGAGAGUCCACAGUUCCUCAUACACUUGGCAACUCAUUACACAGUUAUUCCGAAACCCCUUCUGCUGAGCUUCACAUUGCCCUGCUGGCUUUCAGAGCUCCCUACUUAGACACAUUGGAUCACCCUUUCUCUCCUCCUGUCCAUCCUCCUUGGCCUGACCCUUCAUGUGGCUGGCUCUGGGCAUGUCCUUAGCCCUUUUUCCGAAUUCUAGCAGGAUUUCUAUCACAUCUGCAUGGCUUCCACUUUCUGUCUCGUCCCAGACCCAGGUUCUCAGUUGCCUCCUGAUUGCUUCCUCUAAGAGCUAUAGACAUCAGAGCUAAUUUAGGUUAAUCCAAAAUUUAGGUUCAUCUCCUCAAGGAUAACACUUGUUAUCCUUUCUGUUCCCAUCAUGAUGGAUGCCUGCAGCCAGAGAGUUAGUUUUGACUGCAACUUCCUAGUAGUCCAUUGGUCAGCAGGCACCAUUGCUUCUGUGGCAUAUAUAUCCUAAACCCCUGACAUCACCACAGUUCCAUUGCUGUCCUUCCUGCCUCCCAUCCCUCACUUCUGCAGUCCCCAGUACACACACACACAGAGCCAACAGAUUUUCCCCCCAAAAGACGGAUGUGCUUCCUUCACCCUGACAAAGUCUUCAGCAGGGCCUCCAACCUCACCCUAACUGUGUAAGGAUGAAGUCCAAACUCCACAUGUCACAGAGCCCUUCACAUCCAACCCCACUUACUUCUUGCCUAAGUUCAAAUCAAUACAUACUAUUGUUUACCUAAAGUGUGCAAGGCACAGGGAAAAUAAAGACGGGUAACGCACUGCUAGGAAACUUGCAGUCUGAAGGCGUAGAGAGACAGAAGAACUGGUGAUUUAAAAAUAAUGAGUGAAGAGCUGGGAGCGGUGGCUCACGCCUCUAAUCCCAGCACUUUGGGAGGCUGAGGCAGAUGGAUCACACAGUCAGGAGAUGGAGACCAUCCUGGCCAACACGGUGAAAUCCCAUCUCUGCUAAAAAUACAAACAAAUUAGAUGGGCGUGGUGGUGGGUGCCUGUAGUCCCAGCUACUUGGGAGGCUGAGGCAGGAGAAUUGCUUGAACCUAGGAGACGAAGAUUGCAGUGAGCUGAGAUCGCACCACUGCACUCCAGCCUGGGCAACAGUGUGAGACUCCGUCUCAAAAAAAAAAUUACGAAAUAAAAGAAUAAUGAAUGAAGUGCUGGGAAGAAGACACGCUUCCACCCACUUUUUUUUUUUUUUUUUAGACGGAGUUUUGCUCUUGUUACCCAGGCUGGAGUGCAAUGGCGCGAUCUCGGCUCACCACAACCUCCGCCUCCUGGGUUCAGGCAAUUCUCCUGCCUCAGACUCCCGAGUAGUUGGGAUUACAGGCAUGCGCCACCAUGCCCAGCUAAUUUUUUGUGUUUUUAGUAGAGACGGGGUUUCACCAUGUUGACCAGGAUGGUCUCGAUCUCUAGACCUCGUGAUCCACCUACCUCGGCCUCCCAAAGUUCUGGGAUUACAGGCUUGAGCCACUGCGCCUGGCCCCCACCCACUUUUUUAUACUCUCGGUACACUGGACGUCUCCCUGUUUCCAAAGCAGACUGAGCCUAGCAUUGUGUUUUCUGAUUUUCCUUCCUGAAAUUUCCAUUCGUCCUUCCUGCAUGAUAUUCCUACUCCAUCUUUCAGAUCCUAGUGGACUUUUUCUCUGUGAAGUUUUUUCUUACUUCUGCAGACAGCUGCUUGCUCCUUGUUCUAAAGUUGUAAAUGCAUGGGAUCAUGCUGCUGUCCCCUGGCUCACUGGAAGGCUGGAUGGUCUUUUCUAUGUCUGCAUUCUUUGCCCUCCUCUCAUUCUUUGGUACUAUGUAGAUGCCUAAUUUCUGGUCACGGAAUAAAUGAAUCCAUCACUUGGCUCAAGUUAAAAUCAACCAUCUUACCCGGAGUGAUAAACAGCUCCCUGGAGCUCCUCAGUCAUAAGUAUACUAAGGUAGCAACUUACCUAGAUGAAGCCUUAAACACCAAAAGCAUUGGCAACAAAAGCCAAAAUAGACAAAUGGGACCUAAUCAAACUCCACAGCUUCUGCAUGGCAAAAGAAACAGUCAUUAGAGUGAAUCAGCAACCAACAGAAUGGGAAAAAAUGUUUGCAGUUUACCCGUCUGACAAAGGGCUGAUAUCCAGAAUUUACAAAGAACUAAAACAGAUUUACAAGAAAAAAACAAGCCCAUUCAAAAAUGGGCAAAGGAUAUGAACAGACACUUUACAAAAGAAGACAUACAUGAGGCCAACAAACAUAUGAAAAAAUGCUCAUCAUCACUGGUCAUUAGAGAAAUGCAAAUCAAAAUCACAUUGCGAUACCAUCUCACGCCAGUUAGAAUGGCGAUCAUUUAAAAAUCUGGAGACAACAGAUGCUGGAGAGGAUGUUGAGAAAUAGGAACACUUUUACACUGCUGGUGGGAAUGUAAAUUAGUUCAACCAUUGUGGAAGACAGUGUGGUGAUUCCACAAGGACCUAGAAAUAGAAAUUCCAUUUGACCCAGCAAUCCCAUUACUGGGUAUAUAUCCAAAGGACUAUAAAUCGUUCUACUAUUAGGACACGUGUACAUGAAUGUUCAUUGCAGCACUGUUUACAGCAAAGACCUGGAACCAACCCAAAUGCCCAUCAACGAUAGACUGGACUGGGAAAAUGUGGCACAUAUACACCAUGGAAUAUUACACAGCAAUAAAAAAUGAUGAGUUCCUGUCCUUUGUAGGGACAUGGAUGAAUCUGGAGAACAUCAUUCUCAGCAAACUGACACAAGAACAGAAAAUGAAAUACCGCAUGUUCUCACUCAUAGAUGGGUGAUGAACAAUGAGAAAACAUGGACACAGGGAGGGGAGCACUACACACUGGGGUCUAUUGGGGGGAAUAGGGGAGGGACAGCUCGGGGGAGCUGGGGAGAGAUAGCAUGGGGAGAAAUGCCAGAUGUGGGUGAAGGGGAGGAAGGCAGCAAAUCACACUGCCAUAUGUGUACCUAUGCAACUAUCUUGCAUGUUCUGCACAUGUACCCCAAAACCUAAAAUGCAAUUAAAAAAAAAGAAAGCAAGACCAAUUACCUCCCCCUACUUGCCUCACUUCCUUCCUUUUAUCUUUCUUCUAGUAGAGAGAAGAGGACCUCGAGAAGACAAGCAUUUGGGAGACUGGGAAUAGUGGCCAGGAGGCCACAGGAGGGUCGCCUGAAGAAUGUGCUGGAAUGAGGGAAAGGGACUGUGGGGCAGGGUUUGGGCUGCCCCGUCCUCCGGGGCUCAUUCGAAUGCACUGUGCAGUCACUUGUGUUCUUCUACUUAAUGGAUGGUGAAUAGCUUUCCACAGGAUUUCACUUUUGCAACAUAAUUGGUAAAUGGCUACAUAGUGUUCUUUAGAUGUCUUAUAAUUUAAUUAACUUUAGAUGGUGUCUU